Molecule: ribosomal RNA, 99 nt
Filed under: Prevotella sp. kh1p2
Lineage: Bacteria; Pseudomonadati; Bacteroidota; Bacteroidia; Bacteroidales; Prevotellaceae
Description: 23S rRNA. Bacterial LSU
Rfam family: Bacterial large subunit ribosomal RNA (bases 9-91)
Source: RNAcentral
ACUCCUUAUGAGGGUCGUCCCAGACGAGGACGUGGAUAGGGCGCAGGUGUAAAGACGGCGACGUCAAAGCCGAGCGCUACUAAUUGCCCGAAACUUUCA